GGGGUGUUAGCUCAGUUGGUUCAGAGCACUACCUCGACAAGGUAGGGGUCAUCGGUUCGAGCCCGAUACGCCCCACAA
The sequence is a transfer RNA, 78 nucleotides long. It matches the Rfam family "tRNA". Rfam says of the family: Transfer RNA (tRNA) molecules are approximately 80 nucleotides in length. Their secondary structure includes four short double-helical elements and three loops (D, anti-codon, and T loops).